RNAcentral lists this ribosomal RNA (492 nucleotides) under uncultured bacterium. Its description in RNAcentral is "partial 16S ribosomal RNA". It matches the Rfam family "Bacterial small subunit ribosomal RNA", at positions 29 to 507 of the family's 1533-position model. The record is from RNAcentral.
AGUGAACGCUGGCGGCAUGCCUUACACAUGCAAGUCGAACGGCAGCAUGGCCUGGCUUUCUUGUUUCGUGUCGAGUGUCGCGGGCGGGUGUGAUACAUCUGGGCAUGCCUUUUUUUGGGGGAUAACAUGUCGGGAGUUACACGAUUACCCCGCAUUCGCUGUGCGGGAAAGAGCAGGGCCUUCUCGCAUUUCGCUCGAAGGAAUGCGCCGGUGUCGGAUUAGCUAGUUGGCGGGGUAAAGGCCCACCAAGGCGACGAUCCGUAGCUGGUCUGAGAGGAUGAUCAGCCACACUGGGACUGAGACACGGUCCAGACUCCUACGGGAGGCAGCAGUGGGGAAUAUUGGACAAUGGGCGCAAGCCUGAUCCAGCCAUGCCGCGUGAGUGAAGAAGGCCUUCGGGUUGUAAAGCCCUUUUGGUGGGGAAGAAAAGCAACAGUUUAAUACAGCGCGUGGCUGACGGUACCCGAAGAAGAAGCACCGGCUAACUACGUG